Long non-coding RNA from Dermacentor andersoni, 352 nucleotides. RefSeq lists it as uncharacterized. Lineage: Eukaryota; Metazoa; Arthropoda; Arachnida; Ixodida; Ixodidae. The record is from RefSeq and is a predicted model, not a curated record.
CACAAGCGGCGACUUACGUACUCUACCGCCUGUGGACUAUGGCAGAGGCUUUCAGAUUAAGCAUACUGGUCGUUUUUACUGUAUUUUGCCUUCUUGUCAAGUUACAAGGAAACAUGCCCGCCUACGUUCUCGCGGGAAACCCAGCGAUUAGUCCCAAGCAUCCUACGCGCAGAGAUACCGUCCCUAAUAGGCAACCGCAAAGGAUCUACUACCGCCCUCCACGACCAACCACAACUAGGAGACGCCCAGCAUGUGGCAAGGGAUAAUUUCACCUGGGACGUCCACUCCACUGCAUGAAUGAAAGAACAAAGUGAUUCAUUCCUGCAAAUUUUUGCUCCGCAACACCAAUAAA